This 460-nucleotide ribosomal RNA is filed under the name uncultured bacterium. RNAcentral's name for it is "partial 16S ribosomal RNA". It matches the Rfam family "Bacterial small subunit ribosomal RNA", at positions 338 to 795 of the family's 1533-position model. The record is from RNAcentral.
CCUACGGGUGGCAGCAGUGAGGAAUAUUGGUCAAUGGGCGGAAGCCUGAACCAGCCAAGUAGCGUGAAGGAUGACGGCCCUACGGGUUGUAAACUGCUUUUAUACGGGAAUAACGCGCCUUACGUGUAGGGUUGUGCAUGUACCGUAAGAAUAAGGAUCGGCUAAUUCCGUGCCAGCAGCCGCGGUAAUACGGAAGGUGCGGGCGUUAUCCGGAUUUAUUGGGUUUAAAGGGUGCGUAGGCCGGAUGUAAAGCGUGCUGUGAAAUGUCCGGGCUCAACCCCGGCCUUGCCGUGGGAACUGUCGUGCUUGAGUCCGCGGAAAGCAGGCGGAAUUCGCCGUGUAGCGGUGAAAUGCUUAGAUAUGGCGAAGAACCCCGAUUGCGAAGGCAGCGUACUGCAGCGGAACUGACGCUGAUGCACGAAAGCGCGGGUAUCGAACAGGAUUAGAUACCCCAGUAGUC